GGUGGACUUCUGGAUCGCGUAGCAGCGUUUGCGUCGGUAUCUGGGCUUGUAGCUCAGUUGGUUAGAGCACACGCUUGAUAAGCGUGGGGUCGGAGGUUCAAGUCCUCCCAGGCCCACCAUGUUACAUGAUAAGGGGCCGUAGUUCAGUUGGGAGAGCACCUGCUUUGCAAGCAGGGGGUCGUCGGUUCGAUCCCGUCCGGCUCCACCAUCGUGUUUUGGUGUAGAGACGGAUAUUGGCAAUCAACGAAAGAAAGAAACAAGUUUGCGGACUUUUAUGAAAGUCUGCCUGUUCUGUAUGAAAUCGUGAAGAGAAGAUGUAAUCGGAUCAACUAUCCAGUUGAUGUCGCAAGAGCUUGCUCAAGCCUUGCAUUAUGAUUG
Molecule: transfer RNA, 378 nt
Filed under: Brucella intermedia
Lineage: Bacteria; Pseudomonadati; Pseudomonadota; Alphaproteobacteria; Hyphomicrobiales; Brucellaceae
Description: Ochrobactrum intermedium partial 16S-23S ribosomal RNA intergenic spacer
Rfam family: tRNA (bases 43-116)
Source: RNAcentral